This 74-nucleotide transfer RNA is filed under the name Bacillota bacterium. RNAcentral's name for it is "Firmicutes bacterium (anaerobic digester metagenome) tRNA-Gln". It matches the Rfam family "tRNA". From Rfam's summary of the family: Transfer RNA (tRNA) molecules are approximately 80 nucleotides in length. Their secondary structure includes four short double-helical elements and three loops (D, anti-codon, and T loops). Lineage: Bacteria; Bacillati; Bacillota. The record is from RNAcentral.
UGGGGGAUCGGGUAGCGGUAGCCCGCAUGACUCUGGAUCAUGUUGCGGAGGUUCGAAUCCUCCUCCCCCAGCCA